This 802-nucleotide ribosomal RNA is filed under the name uncultured bacterium. Its description in RNAcentral is "bacterial SSU rRNA". It matches the Rfam family "Bacterial small subunit ribosomal RNA", at positions 30 to 802 of the family's 1533-position model. The record is from RNAcentral.
GAGACGCUGGCGGCGUGCCUAACACAUGCAAGUCGAGCGGAGCUAGUCAUUGGAAAUUUUCGAAUGGAAGAUGGCAAGCUUAGCGGCGGACGGGUGAGUAACGCGUGGGCAACCAACCUUGAUCAGGGGGACAACAUUGGGAAACCAGUGCUAAUACCGCAUAGCUCUAACGGAUGGCAUCAUCGGUUAGAGAAAGAUUUAUCGGAUCAAGACGGGCCCGCGUCUGAUUAGCUAGUUGGUGAGGUAACGGCUCACCAAGGCGAUGAUCAGUAGCCGACCUGAGAGGGUGACCGGCCACACUGGAACUGAGACACGGUCCAGACUCCUACGGGAGGCAGCAGUGGGGAAUAUUGCACAAUGGGGGAAACCCUGAUGCAGCAACGCCGCGUGAGCGAAGAAGGCCUUCGGGUCGUAAAGUUCUGUUCUGGGGGAAGAAACAGCAAAAAGCCAAUACCUUUUUGCCUUGACGGUACCCCAGCAGAAAGCUCCGGCCAAUUAUGUGCCAGCAGCCGCGGUAAUACAUAAGGAGCAAGCGUUGUCCGGAAUUACUGGGCGUAAAGGGCGUGUAGGCGGCCAUGCAAGUCAGCUGUGAAACCCCCGGGCUCAACCCGGGACGUGCAGUUGAAACUGUAUGGCUUGAGUGCAGGNAGAGGAGAGUGGAAUUCCUAGUGUAGCGGUGACAUGCGUAGNAUAUUAGGAGGAACACCCAGUGGCGAAGGCGGCUCUCUGGGACUGUAACUGACGCUGAGGNCGCGAAAGCGUGGGGAUCAAACAGGAUUAGAUACCCUGGUAGUCCACGCCG